ACUACAUAUAUAUAUAUAUAUGU
This 23-nucleotide unclassified non-coding RNA is filed under the name Trypanosoma grosi. Lineage: Eukaryota; Euglenozoa; Kinetoplastea; Trypanosomatida; Trypanosomatidae. The record is from RNAcentral.